UACGUAGGGUGCGAGCGUUGUCCGGAAUUAUUGGGCGUAAAGAGCUUGUAGGCGGUUUGUCGCGUCUGCCGUGAAAAUCCGGGGCUCAACCCCGGACUUGCGGUGGGUACGGGCAGACUAGAGUGUGGUAGGGGAGACUGGAAUUCCUGGUGUAGCGGUGAAAUGCGCAGAUAUCAGGAGGAACACCGAUGGCGAAGGCAGGUCUCUGGGCUGUAACUGACGCUGAGGAGCGAAAGCAUGGGGAGCGAACAGG
RNAcentral lists this ribosomal RNA (253 nucleotides) under uncultured bacterium. RNAcentral describes it as "partial 16S ribosomal RNA". It matches the Rfam family "Bacterial small subunit ribosomal RNA", at positions 524 to 776 of the family's 1533-position model. The record is from RNAcentral.